AACGAACGCUGGCGGCAUGCCUAACACAUGCAAGUCGAACGAGACCUUCGGGUCUAGUGGCGCACGGGUGCGUAACGCGUGGGAACCUGCCCUUAGGUUCGGAAUAACUCCCCGAAAGGGGUGCUAAUACCGGAUAAUGUCUUCGGACCAAAGAUUUAUCGCCUUUGGAUGGGCCCGCGUUGGAUUAGCUAGUUGGUAGGGUAAAAGCCUACCAAGGCGACGAUCCAUAGCUGGUCUGAGAGGAUGAUCAGCCACACUGGGACUGAGACACGGCACAGACUACUACGGGAGGAAGGAGUGGGGAAUAUAGGAAAAGGGGCGAAAGAAUGAACAAGCAAUGAGGGGUGAGAGAUGAAGGCAUUAGGGUUGUAAAGCUAUGUUAAACGGGAUGAGAAUGACAGUAACGGGAGAAUAAGCACCGGCUAACUCCGUG
This 433-nucleotide ribosomal RNA is filed under the name uncultured bacterium. RNAcentral describes it as "partial 16S ribosomal RNA". It matches the Rfam family "Bacterial small subunit ribosomal RNA", at positions 30 to 507 of the family's 1533-position model. The record is from RNAcentral.